This 500-nucleotide ribosomal RNA is filed under the name uncultured bacterium. RNAcentral describes it as "partial 16S ribosomal RNA". It matches the Rfam family "Bacterial small subunit ribosomal RNA", at positions 30 to 523 of the family's 1533-position model. The record is from RNAcentral.
AUUGAACGCUGGCGGAAUGCUUUACACAUGCAAGUCGAACGGCAGCACGGACUUCGGUCUGGUGGCGAGUGGCGAACGGGUGAGUAAUGUAUCGGAACGUGCCCAGUCGUGGGGGAUAACGUAGUGAAAAUUACGCUAAUACCGCAUACGAUCUAUGGAUGAAAGCGGGGGAUCGCAAGACCUCGCGCGAUUGGAGCGGCCGAUAUCAGAUUAGGUAGUUGGUGGGGUAAAGGCCCACCAAGCCAACGAUCUGUAGCUGGUCUGAGAGGACGACCAGCCACACUGGUACUGAGACACGGUCCAGACUCCUACGGGAGGCAGCAGUGGGGAAUUUUGGACAAUGGGCGAAAGCCUGAUCCAGCCAUUCCGCGUGCAGGAUGAAGGCCCUCGGGUUGUACACUGCUUUUGUACAGAACGAAAAGGUUUCUACUAAUACUAGGAGCUCAUGACGGUACUGUAAGAAUGAGCACCGGCUAACUACGUGCCAGCCGCCGCCGUAA